UACGGGAGGCAGCAGUGAGGAAUAUUGGUCAAUGGGCGCGAGCCUGAACCAGCCAAGUAGCGUGCAGGACGACGGCCCUAUGGGUUGUAAACUGCUUUUAUACAGAGAUAAAGUCACCUACGUGUAGGUGUUUGUAGGUACUGUAUGAAUAAGGACCGGCUAAUUCCGUGCCAGCAGCCGCGGUAAU
Molecule: ribosomal RNA, 187 nt
Filed under: uncultured rumen bacterium
Lineage: Bacteria
Description: partial 16S ribosomal RNA
Rfam family: Bacterial small subunit ribosomal RNA
Source: RNAcentral